UCAUGGUGUCUACAACAUUAAUGCAAUGAAUCCCAUCUGAACUCCGCAUCUAAGUAUGCUUAGGAUAGAGUAGUAUUGGGAUGGGUGACCUCCUAGGAAGUCCUAGUGUUUUGCAUGCC
This is a non-coding RNA of Picea glauca (white spruce), 119 nucleotides long. NCBI's taxonomy places the organism in Eukaryota, Viridiplantae, Streptophyta, Pinopsida, Pinales, Pinaceae. The record is from Rfam.